RNAcentral lists this ribosomal RNA (22 nucleotides) under fungal endophyte sp. AP327. RNAcentral describes it as "partial 28S ribosomal RNA". Lineage: Eukaryota; Fungi. The record is from RNAcentral.
GGUUGACUUCGGAUCUAGGUAU